This 468-nucleotide ribosomal RNA is filed under the name uncultured bacterium. RNAcentral describes it as "partial 16S ribosomal RNA". It matches the Rfam family "Bacterial small subunit ribosomal RNA", at positions 28 to 507 of the family's 1533-position model. The record is from RNAcentral.
GACGAACGCUGGCGGCGUGCUUAACACAUGCAAGUCGAACGGAAAGGCCCUUCUUUUGUUGGUUGCUCGAGUGGCGAACGGGUGAGUAACACGUGAGUAACCUGCCCUUGACUUUUGGAUAACUUCAGGAAACUGUGGCUCAUACCGGAUAUGAGCUCCUGCUGCAUGGUGGGGGUUGGAAAGUUUCGGCGGUUGGGGAUGGACUCGCGGCUUAUCAGCUUGUUGGUGGGGUAGUGGCUUACCAAGGCUUUGACGGGUAGCCGGCCUGAGAGGGUGACCGGCAAAAUUGGGACUGAAAUACGGCCAGAACUCCUAGGGGAGGAAGAAGUGGGGAAUAUUGAAAAAUGGGCGGAAGCCUGAUGCAGCAACGCCGCGUGCGGGAUAAGGGCCUUCGGGUGGUAAACCGCUUUCGCAGGUGACGAAGCGGGAGUGACGGUAAUGGGUAAAGAAGCACCGGCUAACUACGUG